AUUGAACGCUGGCGGCAGGCCUAACACAUGCAAGUCGAGCGGAUGAAGGGAGCUUGCUCCUGGAUUCAGCGGCGGACGGGUGAGUAAUGCCUAGGAAUCUGCCUGGUAGUGGGGGAUAACGUCCGGAAACGGGCGCUAAUACCGCAUACGUCCUGAGGGAGAAAGUGUGGGAUCUUCGGACCUCACGCUAUCAGAUGAGCCUAGGUCGGAUUAGCUAGUUGGUGGGGUAAAGGCCUACCAAGGCGACGAUCCGUAACUGGUCUGAGAGGAUGAUCAGUCACACUGGAACUGAGACACGGUCCAGACUCCUACGGGAGGCAGCAGUGGGGAAUAUUGGACAAUGGGCGAAAGCCUGAUCCAGCCAUGCCGCGUGUGUGAAGAAGGUCUUCGGAUUGUAAAGCACUUUUAGUUGGGAGGAAGGGCAGUAAGUUAAUACCUUGCUGUUUUGACGUUACCAAAAGAAUAAGCACCGGCUAACUUCGUG
RNAcentral lists this ribosomal RNA (484 nucleotides) under uncultured bacterium. RNAcentral describes it as "partial 16S ribosomal RNA". It matches the Rfam family "Bacterial small subunit ribosomal RNA", at positions 30 to 507 of the family's 1533-position model. The record is from RNAcentral.